UUUUUUAAAUUUUGCAAAUUUUGUGAAAAAUAAAACAAUUUUAGAGAUUAUUACUGAAAAAAAUCUAUGUAGAUUAACUUACACUUGCAAGAAAUCUUCCUACACAAUAUCAUACAGAUGUCAACUAGCUUAAAAAAUAUUUUUUUCUCUCUCAGUAAAAGAAGGCCCACAAAAGUUUUCCAAAUGUGGAUUAGAAUAAUUCAUAUCAUCCAAAGAAUUUAUUUUUCUAAGAAAGAAAUCAACUGACAAAUAACAUUAAAUAUAUCUUCUAAUAAAGGCCCAUUUAAAAAUAAUUUUUAAAUUCAUUUUAAAAUUUAAACACUAAUUAAAAUAUAGCAUUUUAGUGGCCUACACAAAAACUAGUUGCUACAGCUUUUAUGUGGGAUAUUAAAUUUAUAUAUUUUGUGAUAGUCUAUGUAUAGCUUAUUAUAUAUAUAUUUAUGAGUUGUUUAUGAUAAAUCUGACAUUAGCAACAGCCAAGUCACCUACAUGAAAACAUCAGACUAACACCAUUCAACAGCUUCUAGCAAUUCAAAGGAGAGCACUUUCACAAAUAAAUAAAACUAAGCAGUUAGUGGCACAUGACCAGAUGACAUGAAAGUGUACUUAAUAUUAACUAUUAUAUUAGUGUCUCUUAUUAGUAUAUUCCUUGCUUUACAUACAUGGGAACACUACCAGAAUAUUAAAUAAUAAAUAGCAUUACCUUGCAGGCUAUAUAAAGAGUUUUUAGCUACCCUACAGACAAUGCUUGGAAUGAAUAAUUAUGUGGCAUUGGUUACAGCCAUCAGGCACUGAACAUUCAUUUUUUUAAGUCUCCAAAAGCAUAAGUUGCAUAUAGAGUUCCCCAAUCUACAAACAUUUAAGUGUAUUUAGUGCCCAUAAUCCUAAAAGAAAAGUAGAAUAUUUAAGGCAUCAUUCCUAAAUCUAGCUUUUACCCAUAGAAUAUUUAAGGCAUCAUUCCUAAAUCUAGCUUUUACCCUCUGGCAUAACUUUUUUUUAAAGACUAAUUUCCAAUGAUCUGAUCAAAAAAAUGCUCAUUUGAAGUAAUCAGCAUAUCUGAGGAAUAUCUGCAAAAUAGUGUGUAUUUUGUUUCCUGGUUUUAGAAACCUAUGGUCUUUUAUUAUAUUUGUAAGCAUUCUUCAAAGACAUUUAUUCCUUCACCUUAUUGUUUAGGAUUUUCCUUAUUAGCAGUAAGUAUUUGCUAAUAUUAAAAUAUCCUCAGAUAAAUUUCUUCCUUGGACUUGAAAAUAAAUAGCAAAACUCUCUCACUGUAGACAUAGGACUAGUUACCUCACACUCAUCGUGAGGCAAAACUAGUCUUCAAAGUUACCUUUUAAAUAGAGUUGAUAUUAAUAAGAGACUAGGAAAGAAGAAAUUAAAGAGAAAAAAGAAUAGCCUUUUAUUUUAACAUGUGAAAUCUUCACCAAAACCAAUUCUACCUAAUGAUAAUCACAUAUUCAUUUUUAAAAGUAUUUCUCAAAAGCACAAAUUACUAAAGCUUUCAAUAAUCCUGACUAGACAAUUCUUCUUUACCUUUUUGUCAUCUCAAAAAGACGGCCUGACAAUAAUGGUAUGACACCCUCUCAGACAAGCCUCUCGGCAUUAAUAUUUAAAUCUUACCUAUCCCUUGUGAUUGGAAUUCAGCCUCUAUUCGCAAACAAAAACUAAAUCAAUGUUCUUAGAGUUCAAACUAGAUCCCUAAACAGUUUGCCACUCUCUAUGCACAGAUAAGAUAAACUUUCUUUGACCCAAGAGAUGAAGUUGCCAUGACGAUCAGAGAGUCCACUUUCUAUAUUGAUAUUUUGCUGAUGUAACAACAAAUAGAACCAGAUCCUAGUGCCGAUAAUGGUGAUUAAUUAAUACUAAUAUUGAUCCCUACAAGCAAGAGACAAGGAUAUUAACUUGAAGCCUGAAAAGUCAAUUGUUACCUGUGGCAGAGAUACUAGGAGCUGAUUUGGAAGCAUAAUAAACAAAUGUGCUAUCUUUAUGCUAAUACCUUUAAAGAGAUAGUUCUUUCCAGAAUGCCAAAUAUUGCCAUAUCUGAGCUUAUUAAUUUAAUUGUAUUUCAGCUUUUAAAAAUGUAACCGUAUUAAAUGAUACAUACUUACCUCUUUAUCUAUGGUGAAAACACAUUCUCUGGACUGAAAUAACAGACUUUUGCUGCUAUUCAUUUGGUGAGAGAAUGAACUGAUAAUUUUACACAGUGGCAGGUGUUGAGUUAGACCGGGUUUCAAAAACAUCUGCAGUGUUUCUCUGAAAUGUCCUACUAGUCCUUUGGAAUUGGGAAGGUAACAAAGAAUCCAAGGGAAUAUGACUUAGAGGAUAAGAACUCCAAAGUUAACAUAUCCACUCAUACUUUUUAGUGAACAAAGAUUACAUUUAAGAAAGGAAGCUACUUUUGAAAAAUAUUUCUUAUUCCCAUACAAAUCUAAUGCUAUAUUCUUCACACAAUUUAGCCAAACAUCAAAAAAUUUUCUCUAAAUGGUAUCACUGUAUUUAAAACUUGAAUACACAUUAAGUUAUUUUCAAGGAAAGUUCAUCUGGGAAGGUGUUUUCUUGAAAUGUAAAAAUAAAUUACAGAAUGUAGAAUAAAUAAAAUUAGUUUAUUCACUUAAUAUCUUGUGAGGAAAAGUUACAUAUUUAAAUAGGGUGUGAUUAAAAUGCAACUGACAAGUCCAUUGUUGACUUGCCUUGGUUAUGGGGAAGAACAAAAACAUCAAUACUAGAAAUCCAUACUCUAGUCCCAAAUCCUUCAUUUUAGCUAGAGUGUUAGGUUUAAUCUUCUCCUCUCAAAACUUUUUCUAGUGGUAACAACUAAUAGUGAAAUGGCUAAUUAGACUUUCAUUUCUUUUUUAAAAAUCAUUUGAAAAAAGAGCUAAUUAGUUCUUGAAUAGCAAGGCCUCAACUAGCUGAAAUAACAUGGAUGAGAAAGUCCUUGGUGAGCUCAUGAACAAGAAAAAUGAGUUACCUUAACUGUAAUGCAAAGUUAACUUAAUGGACAUUACUAUAAAGAUAUGGAUACAUAUAGAUAUAGGCAAAACAUAGAUAUAUUGACAGAUAUAGGCUAGACAAUCGAUACAAUCAAUGACUAUCUUAAUUUAUCCCCAAAUUAUCCCCAAACAAAGCAAUGUAUAAAUCUUUGUAUUAACCCUUAAACAUAUCAUGAAAUUUUAAAUUGGCUGAACAUAAAAAUCAGGAGCAAAUCCUUUAAUUGCAUUGCCUUCUUUCACAACUUAAUAACACCAACUUAAUAUAUAGCAAGUCACAUAGUAACCAAACAGAUGCAAUUUUAGUGUUCUUAAGGUCUCUAACUGCAAUUUAUAGAAAAUUCAAACUUGUGUGUUCACCUAAGAAAUACUAAGAUCUAUAAUAUUAAACUUGAUAGUCCUUCUUACUCCAUAAUUUUACAAAUGAACUACUUUGAAAGUUACCAGAAGUUGAAAACAUACCUACUUUGUUAUUUCAAGUCAUAUCUCCAAAUUUUAGCCCUAAACUCAUACAGCAAUUAGAGAUAAACAAGUUAGUUCAUUUAUAUUUGCAUUGUUGACUCCAUUGAACUUUUAAAAACCUCACUUCAUGACUAAUGAUCUUUUACAGGUAAACUUUCUUAUGUUGUCUUUAACUCUUAACAACCAGAAUGACUGUAUUGAUCAUCUUAAGAUUUGUCUGUUUUUAAAUCCACUAAAUAAUUAUUCCUAGAUUUUUCCAGAAAAAAAAAAAAAAACCUGCAUUGGUAUUACUUCAAAUUCGUAAAUCAAGAAAUUAUUUUUAUGCUCUCUUACAAGCAAUAGGUACUCUUCUAUCUAUUUUAUUGCUAAAACAACUAUUAUACAGAAUACAGGUUCCUUUAUCGUGUGGCACGUGUAAAAACAGGUUUUCCGAAAUGUUGCUCAGUCAAAAAUGUAGAAAAUAAAAAUCUCCAAUAUGAGAAGUAUUAUAGACUAAAGAGAAGAAUUACUUUGUAUUAUAUGCAAUUAUCUCUAAAAUUCAGAAAAAAAAUAACUAAUUUGUUUCAAAACAAAAACCUGUCUUAAUAUUUGGCAGGUGAAAAAAAGGACAUUCUAACUGUGUAUAACAAUGAUCUGUGUUUUCAAAUAUAGGUAGUAUUCUCAAAAUCUUUUUUAAAAUAAAAAUAUCAAUGAUAACACAGUAGAUAAUUAACCCUAAAAUUAUAGAUUGAAUAUCAAAAGAAGAAACACUUUUAAAAGACCCAUAGCAGAACAAUGAAAAAUAGCCAUACUCAAUUAUUUGCAUAACAUAAUUUUAAGAUUAUACAAAUGACCCAACUAGAGGUUUUCAUGUGACAAAUAUUAAAUAAUAAAUUUAACAUAUAACAUUCUUAUUUUAAAACAGUAAUUGUUUUAUAAAUAAAAUAUUGACUAUAACCUACUCUUUAUAAAAAUAGCAUAGAACACUAAAAUGCCAAUGUGUAAGUUAGGAAUUCGUACGGCCUAAAAUUGUUAGAUCAUCUCAAAUAACAAAAUGGUAAUUAUUCAAUAUGAAUGGAUUCCAACUUCUGCAAAAGACCCUCUACAGAACUGCUAACAAGAUUAUUCUCGAACUAGAACAUUUUACUUUCAACAUGCAUGUUAAUUUCCAAUAUCUGCUUCACUUUUCAAGAAGAAAACAUUCUGUCUCUUAAUUCACCCUUUCAUUAUACUUCGCCACAAUUAUUUGGCACCUGAUCUAGACCAAACAUUUAUGCUCUACAUGUCUGAAAAGAUCAAGCAAUCUAAAAGUUUUAUGAAAACUCUACUUUUAUGUUAUAAAGAAGAGUGCCUUCUCCUAAUCUUGUAUGAAAAUAAAGUACUUGAGUUUCCUCCUUUUCAAGCUCUAUAUUAACUACUAGAGAGCAGAUAAUGACAUUCAUCUGCAAAAAAAAAAAAGGUGAUGUCCACCUCUUCCUGCACCCAUAGCCAAUACACUUCAGUGUGACUGAAGUUGGGGACAUAUAA
This is a long non-coding RNA of Cercocebus atys (sooty mangabey), 4955 nucleotides long. RefSeq lists it as uncharacterized. Lineage: Eukaryota; Metazoa; Chordata; Mammalia; Primates; Cercopithecidae. The transcript has 2 exons. The record is from RefSeq and is a predicted model, not a curated record.